GACGAACGCUGGCGGCGCGCCUAACACAUGCAAGUCGAACGAGCGAGCGGCGGUUUACUUUCUCACUCGAGUGGCGAACGGGUGAGUAACGCGUGAGGAACCUGCCUCAAAGAGGGGGACAACAGUUGGAAACGACUGCUAAUACCGCAUAUGCCCACGACCCGUCAUCGGGUAGAGGGAAAAGGAGCCAUCCGCUUUGAGAUGGCCUCGCGUCCGACUAGCUAGUUGGUGAGGUAAUGGCCCACCCAGGCGACGAUCGGUAGCCGGACGGAGAGGUUGAACGGCCACAUCGGGACUGAGGCACGGCCCAGACUCCGACGGGAGGCAGCAGUGGGGAAUAUUGCACGAGGGGGGAAAACCUGAUGCAGCGACGCCGCGGGGAGGAAGAAGGUCGUCGGAUUGUAAACUCCUGUUGUAGAGGAAGAUAAUGACGGUACUCAACAAGGAAGUGACGGCUAACUACGUG
This 466-nucleotide ribosomal RNA is filed under the name uncultured bacterium. RNAcentral describes it as "partial 16S ribosomal RNA". It matches the Rfam family "Bacterial small subunit ribosomal RNA", at positions 28 to 507 of the family's 1533-position model. The record is from RNAcentral.